Molecule: ribosomal RNA, 460 nt
Filed under: uncultured bacterium
Lineage: Bacteria
Description: partial 16S ribosomal RNA
Rfam family: Bacterial small subunit ribosomal RNA
Source: RNAcentral
CCUACGGGGGGCAGCAGUGAGGAAUAUUGGUCAAUGGACGAGAGUCUGAACCAGCAAAGGAGCGUGAAGGAUGACUGCCCUAUGGGUUGUAAACUUCUUUUAUAUGGGAAUAAAAUGUUCCACGUGUGGGAUUUUGUAGGUACCAUAUGAAUAAGGAUCGGCUAACUCCGUGCCAGCAGCCGCGGUAAUACGGAGGAUCCGAGCGUUAUCCGGAUUUAUUGGGUUUAAAGGGAGCGUAGGUGGAUUGUUAAGUCAGUUGUGAAAGUUUGCGGCUCAACCGUAAAAUUGCAGUUGAAACUGGCAGUCUUGAGUACAGUAGAGGUGGGCGGAAUUCGUGGUGUAGCGGUGAAAUGCUUAGAUAUCACGAAGAACUCCGAUUGCGAAGGCAGUUCACUGGACUGCAACUGACACUGAGGCUCGAAAGUGUGGGUAUCAAACAGGAUUAGAUACCCCAGUAGUC